AACAUACAAACAGAAAGCUACAUUCUCUCCUUCCACCACCUUACAGUGUCCAAUUUCUUUUAGCUUGGAUCUCCUACAAAGAAUGUAGUCCACCUGUGUGCACCUUCCUCCACUCUUAUAUGUCACCCUGUGCUCCUCCUUUUUCCUAAAGUAGCUCUUCACCACAGCCAUUUCCAUCCUUUUUGCAAAAUCAACUCCUAUCUGUCCUUCCACAUUCCUGACCUUGAUACCAUAUGUAGUCAUUACUUCCACAUCACCUCUCUUCCCUUCACCAACAUGCCCAUUGAAGUCCGCUCCUAUCACCACUCUUUCAUGCUUGGACACACUCUCAACUACCUCAGCUAACUCACUCCAG
Thalassophryne amazonica is the source of this 355-nucleotide long non-coding RNA. RefSeq lists it as uncharacterized. The record is from RefSeq and is a predicted model, not a curated record. The transcript is spliced from 3 exons. Lineage: Eukaryota; Metazoa; Chordata; Actinopteri; Batrachoidiformes; Batrachoididae.